UGCACGGGAGUUGAUUUUGGUCCCCUUGAUUUUCUCAGUGCCAGUCACUGUUCCCUUCAGGAGGGCUUUCUCCCUCCUCAUGUCUUCUGCCCUCCUCUUUUCUCUGCCUGAGAGGCCAGCCAGACAGGUAAAUACCUAGAGGAGUCCAAGAGCCGAGGCCAUUCUGAGACCAAAUGUGUUGAUGUGACUCAAGGAACAACACAGACCAGCUGUGUCAACAUGCCUCAGUCCUCUGUUCCUAGGACCUCGGCUUGGGAACGGUCCAUCUGAUACAUCAUGUGUCCUAGCAGAAGACUGGCAAAUAGCCAUCAGGGCCUGAGGCAGUUUACCCACAUUGUCAUCUAGCAGGGAUUAAAUCAUCUGCCCUGGAAGAGAAAGGCCCAUGGAAAAUAAGGUUCCCAGGUGGUGACCAUGCCGCCAGCCCAGGGACCACACUUGGAGAAUCACCGGGAAGUCAAGAAACUCCCGUGGUGGCUCCUGACCUGCUUGAUCACCCCAGCUGUGCUCUUGGCUGACUCCACCCUGAAGCUGGAUGAACUGCUGCAUACGGAACCACCGACCCUUGUGCAAU
This is a non-coding RNA of Ictidomys tridecemlineatus (thirteen-lined ground squirrel), 571 nucleotides long. The record is from RefSeq and is a predicted model, not a curated record. Lineage: Eukaryota; Metazoa; Chordata; Mammalia; Rodentia; Sciuridae.